RNAcentral lists this ribosomal RNA (423 nucleotides) under uncultured bacterium. RNAcentral describes it as "bacterial SSU rRNA". It matches the Rfam family "Bacterial small subunit ribosomal RNA", at positions 97 to 518 of the family's 1533-position model. The record is from RNAcentral.
GGCGCACGGGUGAGUAACGCGUAUCCAACCUUCCCCUUAGUAGGGCAUAGCCCGGCGAAAGUCGGAUUAAUACCCUAUGUUCUUCGUAGAGGACAUCUGAAAUGAAGCAAAGAUUUAUCGCUAAGGGAUGGGGAUGCGUCUGAUUAGGUAGUCGGCGGGGUAACGGCCCACCGAGCCUGCGAUCAGUAGGGGUUCUGGGAGGAAGGUCCCCCACAUUGGAACUGAGACACGGUCCAAACUCCUACGGGAGGCAGCAGUGAGGAAUAUUGGUCAAUGGGCGCGAGCCUGAACCAGCCAAGUAGCGUGCAGGAUGACGGCCCUAUGGGUUGUAAACUGCUUUUAUAGGGGAAUAAAGUGAGGGACGUGUCCCUUUUUGUAUGUACCCUAUGAAUAAGGACCGGCUAAUUCCGUGCCAGCCGCCGC